GUUGCCCUUAGAGGCAUUGCAGAAAUGGCUUCUCUGUCACAUGUGCGACAACAUGUGACAGAGAGGAGAGAUGCUAUGUCUAAGUUUAAUGCGUUGACCUGUGAACAUCUGAAAGAUUAGAAGUCUAACAUU
Molecule: small nucleolar RNA, 132 nt
Organism: Apodemus sylvaticus (European woodmouse)
Lineage: Eukaryota; Metazoa; Chordata; Mammalia; Rodentia; Muridae
Product: small nucleolar RNA SNORA17
Exons: 1
Source: RefSeq, a predicted model, not a curated record